AAAGCCCUAAUUAUCGUCAUACUCCGGCAGCGACUCGGCGACCAAUUUCGCGCUGGGAUUCAUCGUCAGACGUCAGUAUCCUUCUUCUUUCUCUGAUAAUUGGUAAAUCGUCACUUCUCUCUUCAGUCCUGAGUUCCACUUCUUCAUUCGCUAAAUCAAUCUUCUCAAUUCUCCUUCUCUUCUCCGAUCGGCGACCACGACACCAUUUCCUUCUUCCCGUAAACGAUCUCUUCUCAGCAAUUACGUUUCGGCGAUGGGAUAGGGCCGAUAGGCAGAGUCGCAGAGAGCCAGUCAGCUAGGGACAACCUCCGAUACUUCUUCACUCUUCUUCUUCUUCGUCAGACGUCCGAACCUUCUUCUUCUUCUUCAGAUCUAGCUUCUUCGACGAAGGAUUCUGAUGCGAUAGGGAGAGAAUCUCUCGAUUGCUGAUUGGUUGGCUUGCAGAUUGAAACCUGUGAUGCCUUCUGAGAGUCUCGGUUGCCAUGCCUUCUGAUGCUUUUAUCGCUGGUGGUAAAUUGCAGUCCUAAUUAAUCUCUGAGAAUCAAACUGAUAUAGCAGUAUCGAUGAAGUAUGACAACCUUCCUUCCAUAUGCCUUCCAGACCCUUUUGAUUUCAUUUAAUUAUGUUAUGGUAGUUUGUGUAAUGGCGUACUGUACCAAGGAAUUAGAUUGGUAUAUGUGUUGAGCAGGUUGAAGUUCUAGAAUUGUUACUCUAAUGGCGUUUGAAGUUUAAGAAUUGGAAUCAAGACUUCAGGAAGCCUAACUUAUGGGCGGUUUUCAAAAAAUGGCAUCAUAUAUGGAAAAUACAUUUUGUGGUACAAGUUUUAACUUACUUUAACGGAAACUGGUGAUCAAUAACCUUAUCUGUUAAAAAUAACGGAAAAAUUAAUUCCG
Molecule: long non-coding RNA, 893 nt
Filed under: Linum usitatissimum (flax)
Lineage: Eukaryota; Viridiplantae; Streptophyta; Magnoliopsida; Malpighiales; Linaceae
Description: long non-coding RNA (LUSI_LNC003886)
Source: RNAcentral